GCAGCGAUGUCCGAGAGGUCAAGAAGAUUAACUAGAAAUCAAUUGGGCUCUCCCCGCGUAGGUUCGAAUCCUGCUCGCUGCC
Non-coding RNA from Angiostrongylus costaricensis, 82 nucleotides. The record is from Rfam. Lineage: Eukaryota; Metazoa; Nematoda; Chromadorea; Rhabditida; Metastrongylidae.